GGGGAAUAUUGGACAAUGGGCGCAAGCCUGAUCCAGCCAUGCCGCGUGAGUGAUGAAGGCCCUAGGGUUGUAAAGCUCUUUUGUGCGGGAAGAUAAUGACGGUACCGCAAGAAUAAGCCCCGGCUAAAUUCGUGCCAGCAGCCGCGGUAAUACGAAGGGGGCUAGCGUUGCUCGGAAUCACUGGGCGUAAAGGGUGCGUAGGCGGGUCUUUAAGUCAGGGGUGAAAUCCUGGAGCUCAACUCCAGAACUGCCUUUGAUACUGAAGAUCUUGAGUUCGGGAGAGGUGAGUGGAACUGCGAGUGUAGAGGUGAAAUGCGUAGAUAUCUGGAGGAACACCGGUGGCGAAGGCGGCAUCCUGGACCGAUACUGACGCUGAGGAGCGAAAGCCAGGGGAGCAAA
This 399-nucleotide ribosomal RNA is filed under the name uncultured bacterium. RNAcentral's name for it is "bacterial SSU rRNA". It matches the Rfam family "Bacterial small subunit ribosomal RNA", at positions 356 to 772 of the family's 1533-position model. The record is from RNAcentral.